Molecule: long non-coding RNA, 2034 nt
Organism: Vulpes vulpes (red fox)
Lineage: Eukaryota; Metazoa; Chordata; Mammalia; Carnivora; Canidae
Source: Ensembl
CUCGCUUUGUGGUCUUGACUCCCUGUUUCUGUCCAUCUGUCCUCAUCCCUGUCUGUGUCUAUCCCUGUCUUUCUCCAUGUGCUCUGCCUCUCUCCAUCCCCUGGCAGUCCGAUCCCCCUGCUGGGGGACAAAGGCUGUGACUGCUGUGCUAUUCCUAUAUAUAUGGUCUCCCAGGUUGGCGUCACCUGGGCUGCUCCUUCCUCAGAGUGCUGGGGGACUCUCGAGAGUCAGAGGCAGAGGGGAACUUGUGCAUAGGGGCUGCCCAUGAAGGUGGUGUUCAGGAAGGAAAAUUCUAGAACAAAAAAGCUCCACUCAGAAAUUUGCCAGUGAUCAGCUGUGUUUGAAUUUAUCAGGAAAAGCAUUCCAUCCCAGGCCAGGCAGACAUCACUUUGUCCUUCCUGCCCCCGACCAUGGGGAAGUAAUGGGAACAGAUGCUGAGGGAAUUGAUGACAGCAGAUGGGAGAUGCUCCCCCUUCUCUUCCAGGACCAUUCUUUCUCUACCCAGUCAAGGACGGCUUCCUUCCUGCAGCAGAAGCUCCACGGAUCACCUGGACAGCCUCCUCCCUGCACGCACGUUCCCAGCAGAGCCUGCAGAGGAGGCCCGGGGCUCCCGCAGCCCCUCCUGGUUCUGUCCCACUGCAGCCUCCCUCAGCCAGCAAUUCGUGUAAGCUGUGGGCCUGGGGCAGCCUCUUGCUUGGAAGGCAGGCCCUCUGCUCAUGUACUGCAAGCGGGGAUGACAGUGGUGCAGAAGGCAAGAAGAAAACACAAACAGGUUGGGACCAGCUGCCUGAGGCCUGACAGAGAAAUGCCCUCUUUUCCUGUGUGUGGUUUGUGCUUCUCACCGGCAGAGCAGCCAGCAUUUGAGACUUCAAUCAGGACAUAAGUCUUGGGGAAGAAGCCAGCAAGUCAUCUGACCUGCCACCAGUCCAGCUCACCAGCUGAGGACCAGGUUAGGCCAAGUGCCCAGGGCUGCCACAUAUGCUGGACAUUCUGUGCAAAGAACAAGUCGUUAUUGGAUGGCAUUCCUGUUGGACAUCUUUGGGUGGAAAUGAACGAGGCUGAUCACUUCCAGGAGAGAAGCAAUGAGCACCUAGUGUCCUUGGAUCUUUAUCUGCUGUAUCCUCUUAUAUCUCUUGUAAGACGGCCUUAUCCUCUUUCAUUCAGCCUUCCCAGGACAAGUGGCAGGGGGGGUCUCAAAUCUCUGCUUUGACAUUUGAUGCCGUUCAAGGAGCAAUCUCAUUCAAAGAAAGGGCUGAGAAACGAGUUUGAGUAUUUUCUGGUUAUAAUUUAACAUUAUCUUGAGUAGAAAAUGGCAGGAUUUUGUUGAAAAACCCCUUUUUGACUGAUGUGUGUUCUCUUCUAGUUUUGAACAUUUCAGUCACUGUCUUAUAAAAAUAAUUUUAUUGAUUUGAGGCUUGGCAAAGAGAAAUGAUCUACUUUUCAAAAAUGGCCUUAUAAAGAGUGUAUGACUUCCCCCCUUUCCCAAAGUUCUUUGUGUCUUCUUUUAUGUUUAAAAUCUCCUGGAUGAUAUGCCUUGGUCUUUUCUACUAUUGUGCUGAGUGCUUGGUGGGGCCUUUAAUCUGAGAAAUAGUAUCCCAUAGGAAAAAUGCCUCAAACAUUUUUUUCUAUUACACUUCUUUGAUAACUUUUCCCCCUUCCAUUUACUCUGUUUUGUCUUUCUGGAGCUUGUAGUUUUUGGAUGUUGAAUUCCCUGGACUAAACGUCUAACUUUUCCAAAAAUAUUUUUUCCCAUGACUUUUCUCUCUUGAUUCCUUAAUUAGUUAAAAAAAUUUAAAGCACAUCCAAGUUUAUAUAAAAGUUGCCACUGGGGGUAUCUGGGUGGUGUAGUCAGUUAAGUGCCUGAAAUUGGCUCAGGUCAUGAUCUUGGGGUCCUGGGACCGGGCCCCAAGUCGAGUCCCUGGCUCAGCAGGGAGCCUGCUUCUCCCUCUUCCUCUGCCCCUCCUUCCACUUGUGCCCAUGCUUUCUCUUUCUCUCUCUCUCUCUCAAAUAAAUAAAUAAAAUCUUUUUAAAACA